This 574-nucleotide ribosomal RNA is filed under the name Nanosynbacter sp. RNAcentral describes it as "bacterial SSU rRNA". It matches the Rfam family "Bacterial small subunit ribosomal RNA", at positions 785 to 1360 of the family's 1533-position model. The record is from RNAcentral. Lineage: Bacteria; Bacillati; Minisyncoccota; Nanosynbacteria; Nanosynbacterales; Nanosynbacteraceae.
CCCUGGUAGUCCCCGCCCUAAACGAUGUCGAUUAGCUGUUGGGCAGCAUGACUGCUUAGUAGCGAAGCUAACGCGUGAAAUCGACCGCCUGGGGAGUACGGUCGCAAGAUUAAAACUCAAAGGAAUUGACGGGGACCCGCACAAGCGGUGGAUGAUGUGGAUUAAUUCGAUGCAACGCGAAGAACCUUACCUGGUCUUGACAUGUACGGAACCCUCCAGAGACGGAGGAGUGCCUUCGGGAGCCGUAACACAGGUGCUGCAUGGCUGUCGUCAGCUCGUGUCGUGAGAUGUUGGGUUAAGUCCCGCAACGAGCGCAACCCUUGUCAUUAGUUGCCAUCAUUAAGUUGGGCACUCUAAUGAGACUGCCGGUGACAAGCCGGAGGAAGGUGGGGAUGACGUCAAGUCCUCAUGGCCCUUAUGACCAGGGCUUCACACGUCAUACAAUGGUCGGUACAGAGGGUAGCCAAGCCGCGAGGUGGAGCCAAUCUCACAAAACCGAUCGUAGUCCGGAUUGCACUCUGCAACUCGAGUGCAUGAAGUCGGAAUCGCUAGUAAUCGCAGGUCAGCAUACUGC